This 514-nucleotide ribosomal RNA is filed under the name uncultured bacterium. Its description in RNAcentral is "bacterial SSU rRNA". It matches the Rfam family "Bacterial small subunit ribosomal RNA", at positions 8 to 518 of the family's 1533-position model. The record is from RNAcentral.
AGAGUUUGAUUAUGGCUCAGGAUGAACGCUAGCUACAGGCCUAACACAUGCAAGUCGAGGGGUAGCGUGAGGGAAGCUUGCUUCCCUGACGACGACCGGCGAAUGGGUGAGUCACGCGUGUCCAACCUGCCCCGUGCCCGGGGAUAGCCCUUGGAAAUGAGGAUUAAGACCCGAUAUGUGGCGCUUCCGCAUGGCGGCGCCAUAAAGCAGGCACGGGAUGGGGACGCGUCGGAUUAGCUUGACGGCGGGGCAACGGCCCACCGUGGCGACGAUCCGCAGGGGUUCUGAGAGGAAGGUCCCCCACACUGGCACUGAGACACGGGCCAGACUCCUACGGGAGGCAGCAGUGAGGAAUAUUGGUCAAUGGGCGGGAGCCUGAACCAGCCAAAGUAGCGUGCAGGACGACGGCCCUACGGGUUGUAAACUGCUUUUCCGGGAGGAUAAAGUGAGCCACGCGUGGUUCAUUGCAGGUAUCCCGGGAAUAAGGACCGGCUAAUUCCGUGCCAGCCGCUGC